CUCUGGGCACGCAUGAGGUUCAGGGCAAAAAGAG
RNAcentral lists this non-coding RNA (34 nucleotides) under Paenibacillus pini JCM 16418. Lineage: Bacteria; Bacillati; Bacillota; Bacilli; Caryophanales; Paenibacillaceae. The record is from RNAcentral.